UCCAAAAUCGUAAAGAUGAGGUGCACGAUUUUUCAUUUUUUUUGUGAAUAUUUCAAAAUUAAGAACCACUAAACUAUAAAUUUUUUUUUGUUGACGAUAUUUCGCAAUGAAGAACUAAAACAUAUUACGAAUACAUCUAUACUCCCACAGAAUAUCGCACCACCAGAAAUAUGGCACGAAUUUGAGUAAUUUCAAAAACCUGGACAAUGAAACAAAGAUUAUUGGAAAAAACACUUUUCAACAAGACACCACCCACAGAAAAAAUCUGGAUACAUUAACCUGUAAAUGUUUGCUCCUGUAGCAAGUCUCCUAUGUCCUAAUCGAUGAAUACGACAUAAUGAAGGUGAAGGAUAUAAAAAACUACAGAUAAUGUAAAGAAAGUCGAUCAAACGAGCUAUUAUAUUCUGAAUUUCUGGUGAUUCAUGCGAUGAUCGAGAUACAUAAUACCAACUAGAGAAAUACUUUUACGAAAAAUUUUAUUCAAAACAACGAAGUCGAUAGUUUCAGAUUUUCAACAAAACACAUCAACAAACCGAAUGGACCACUAACUACAGCAUCCUUCCGGAAGGAAGAAAAACUGCAUAAUAGAUGCGUGGUAUGACGGAUACCGUUUUAAGAAUAAAACCGUCCUAAACACGAUUUUUAUCAACGUUGUUCUUAGAUCACAUCAGCAUUGAAAAUGCGAUCUGGAAGUGAUUCUAUAACUGCGUUGGAACAUCUAUAGAAAUGCUGAGUUGGAUAGAAUUAUUAUAAAUCAGAAUAAGAUCGUGUAUGUACCAGAAUUAUCGUUCAACAGUCCCAUAGAUCGCGAAAAGUCUUCACUUCGUGAUAAAUAAUAAGGUGACUACAUGAUAUUCGAAUGGUUAUGUCAGAAUUGUCUAUCAAGACUGCAACAUCAAUCAUCGUCCCAUAUGGAGACCCCCUCCCCCUCAAAUUUCAAUUACAACUAUAGCACUUUUAGAACUAGACAAUUUCUUCAAUAAUACCCUGCGUAUUAUUCAAUCAUGACAUGAAAUGGUACUACGCUGUAGAAAUGCUUUUGUCCAAAUUCUCCCUGAAAAGUUAUUCGAAAUAACAGGUUCCAACCAGUUUUAGAGCAAUUUGGAUGCGCAAAUGAGGAAAACUACAGCACGAUUUCUUCGACAAACAUGAACCACCUACAGUACAGAUGUAAGCAGUAAGACUACGUAUAUUGAAUAUUUAAGCAGAAUCAUAUCGUACAGCAUAAUAAACAAUACGAGAAUAUUAAUAAUGCGAUCAGCGAAAGCGACAAUAUUAUCUUUAGGAAGCUUCAUCAUGACCUGGGACGACAGAUCACAAAAUUAUAAUCUAAGUGCAUUAGCUUUUACAUCUGAAGAAUGAUUUUGAUACAUAUCUGCUUUGUCCAAUGAACUGUCGGUUGAAAAAUCGGAAAUACGUGAAUUGAAAAUGUCAUUAACUUGAUAUACCUACAUAUAUAUCUAUAUGAAGUUCAUGACAUUUCCAAUUCACUCAUUUCUGAUUUUUCAACCGACGUAUUAAUUGGAAUAAACGUGAACAAUAAUCAUAACAUUUUCAAGACAACUCUUCAAACACUCAAGUUGAACUAGUGAGCUUUACUUUAUUUUCCUCAUAAAAAACUUUUCGGAGAAAAAAACGUAAAACUCACUAGGUAAUCCCACUUCCUGAGAGGGGAUCAGGAAAAUUCCAAGAACAAAUACCUGCACAUAAAAUUGCAAGAAAAAUUCAAACCCACUGUUCGGUUUUUGUCUAUGUUCUGUUAUCUUCUGUUCUCUUUUAUAAAAUGUUUGCCCAGAUAAAAGCUCUUCUCACGAAAUUCUUCCCAAGCAUUUUUUUUUUCAUAUUGUUGUUCUGUUCUGUUCUAUUUUGUUCUCUUGAACAGAACAGAACGGAACAGAACAGAAGUAUGAAAAAAAUGCAUCGGGAUGGAUUUCUUGGGAAGAACUUUCGUCAGGGAAGAAUGAAUGCAUUGUUUAAGCUUUGUAUAAAUUAGGUUUGUUAACUCCUGAUACGAUAAUAUUAUUGUGAGCUACUAUUUUCCAAAACUCUAAGGUAUCACAACUGCGAAUAUAUUUUUAAAAUAAAUUUUGUAAACGUGAA
Molecule: long non-coding RNA, 2100 nt
Organism: Planococcus citri (citrus mealybug)
Lineage: Eukaryota; Metazoa; Arthropoda; Insecta; Hemiptera; Pseudococcidae
Exons: 2
Source: RefSeq, a predicted model, not a curated record